AGAGCGAACGCUGGCGGCAGGCCUAAUACAUGCAAGUCGAGCGGCCACUUCGGUGGCAGCGGCGGACGGGUGAGUAACGCGUGGGAAUGUGCCCUUUGGUACGGAACAACUGAGGGAAACUUCAGCUAAUACCGUAUGUGCCCUUCGGGGGAAAGAUUUAUUGCCAUUGGAGCAGCCCGCGUUGGAUUAGCUAGUUGGUGAGGUAAUGGCUCACCAAGGCGACGAUCCGUAACUGGUCUGAGAGGAUGAUCAGUCACACUGGAACUGAGACACGGUCCAGACUCCUACGGGAGGCAGCAGUGGGGAAUAUUGGACGAUGGGCGAAAGCCUGAUCCAGCCAUGCCGCGUGUGUGAAGAAGGUCUUCGGAUUGUAAAGC
This 377-nucleotide ribosomal RNA is filed under the name uncultured soil bacterium. RNAcentral's name for it is "bacterial SSU rRNA". It matches the Rfam family "Bacterial small subunit ribosomal RNA", at positions 26 to 431 of the family's 1533-position model. The record is from RNAcentral.